GUCAAUGUAAUAGUCUAGGUCAACUCUUGUAACUCUUUUUGAAGUAAUAAAGAUGAAAUAUUUGAGUAUUAUGUGAAUUAUAUGUGUUUAUUAUUUAAUUAUAAAUGUAUAAUUAAUAAAGAAUAAAAAUGAGCGUCAAAAUUAAAGUGUAAGAUAAUCCUGAUAUCUCUACAUAAAGUUGUAGAAUAUGUCUCAAGGUUUCCGUGCAUAUAAGGAACGCUGAAAUCCGAGUUAUNAACGAAGAAGCUAUGACCCGUCGAAGUUUCACGACAGAACCGGCACGAUACCGGGAAGCGUGAAUAGUGAAUUUACGAUAGAGUGAGAUUUAGCCUUAGUGAUCUAAACGAAAGUCGUAGAAUAUGUUAAACUAAGAACAUCGAUAAAAAGAACGCCCAAAUCUGACUUCGUAUGAAGAAGUUAUGAGAUUUUAAACAGACCAAUCCUGUCCCGGCUUGUUAAAAAUAUAACUUUAAAAAUAAAGUCAAAAUUAGCCGACGGAGUCUAAACGAAAGUUGUAGAGUACGUCUUCACCUACGCGUGGAUAUAAAGAACGUCAAAAACGGAGUUCGUAUGAACGAGUUACAAAUUAUAAUAGCAUAUUUACGUAUUAAAAUAAAGUAUAAAUCAUGUAUACGUACACAUAUAUAUACAUAUGUAUAUAUCAUUAGAAAGGUAUCGACGAUGCGGUCAUUAUAAGACUAAUGUUGAGUUCUUUCGACAUUAGUUUAGUACAAAUAUCAUUAAAUCCAUUUAUAAUAGUAUUAUAGAGGGGUGUUUAGUUGUUUAUAUAACUAAAAGGUCAUUAAGUAAUUAUGGAGGGUAGUUUUUGAAAAUUCAAUUAGUAUAAAUAAGAGCCUUGGGCUCUCAUAUUUCUUGCACCAUUCUCUUGAUUCAAGAGUCUUUCUCUCCUUAUCCCCCGAGCAUUUCGGUCCCUCGUGAUUCGACUUCUCUUUCUGUAGCUUAGUAUAGUAAGGUGAGCGCUGAAGCGCUGCACGAAUCUUUCUUAGAAAGAUUCAGCGACGAAGUUCUGCCCCUGCAGAGCCCGACUCCUAGCUAAAACCCCCUUGUAAGUAAGUUAUGCUUACCUUAUUUUAAUAUAGCUUAUAUUUAAAAUUAGUAUUGUUAUUAUGAACUUAUAAUAAAUAUUUGAGCUAUUAUUAUAACUUAUAUAAGUGUCGUUAUAAUAUUUUUUUUAACUACUCGCGGUACGGGGAAUCUGGUUUAAAGGGCCGCAUAGGGUUGUUGGAUUUCAGAAGUGCUAUAUGCCAAAAUGGUCCUGCCCUCCGGUGUUUUAUGUCUGGCCCCUGUCUGUACAUAGUGGUUGGAAAAUAUUGUUUAACGCUUAUAUAAUAAUAAUAAUACUAAGACUAAUAGUUGGUCACGGUAAAUAUUAGACUAAAAUUUAGCGAUAAUAAUGCUAGGUUUCGUCGAAGGAAAAUAGAAUCGUUAGAAGCAAGCGCUGCCCGAUUUUGGAAUCAUCACCUUAACAAGUGAGUGCAUAGUUACUUUCAACUUACACAUAGAUAUGAAGUAUUUUAUAUAAAUUACGUGCUAUGUGUGCAUAUUAUCUGAAUACUUGCUAUCUAUGCUAGAUGAACGUUGUUAUACAUGUUUUCAAUGAUUUAAACUGUAUAUGUAUUUUAUAUCUACGAAAAUGUUGGGGUAAAACAUGGGUAGAUGCAAUAGGUGAUGUGUGAUAAAAUGAUGAGAGGCCUCGAUGUUGAUGUUGUUGAUUCUGUCAUCUAGCGGAGUAUGGAUGACGACCACGGACUCUUCUAGACAGUCCAGUGGAACACUAGCAGGCUCGCAACCUGUAGGUGUUUGUGAACGAUAUGUUCACCGGUGUACUCCAUCCCCCACAUGGUUGCCUUUAGGACAUUUAUUGCUGAGGAAUCCCCUUAGCAGUAGUGUCCGUCCCGAUGAUGAUCCUUAGGCUAGGUCCCUUAUGAUAGGUGUUUAGGGACGUAAAGUGAGGAUAACGGGAACGGGUAAUCGGGUUAUUGUUGAUCGAUGAAAUUAAUAAACUUAUUUAUUGUGGGUUGAAAACCCUAUGUGCUCACCAGGCUCCCAAGCCUGACCCACUCAGUUUUAUGUAUUACAGGUAGUGGCGCAUGAGCAUAGGUGUGAUGUUUUGGACGAGGGAUUACGGAUAUAGGCCUGUAGAUAUGAAAUAAUGUAGUAAGGCUUAUAUUGUACUGUUUAUGCUUUUGAUCUGUACGAACAUGACAUCCCGAGUCUUUUAAUGAAAUACAUUUCUAUGGAAAUGCUUUUGAUAAAUCUUUAUCAUAUUUUUGUUUUGGGACAAAUUCCGCAACACUUUCAUUUAAAAUGUAACUCUGAUUUUUAAACAAAGCAUAAACAAACCGGUCUUUUCUGGCCGUGAUUUUGGGGAUGUCACAGUUGGUAUCAGAGCAUUAGUUUAAGCGAACUAGGAAUUUGUAGGAUUUCUAGACUUAAACUUAGAAUGCUAAGCGAUGAUUGUGAGGUGUGAGCACUAGCUUAUUUUAGGAAUUGUGCCUAAAAUGCUUUUAUGUGCUAAAUGCUUUGUGCAUAAUAUGCUGUUAAUUGUUCGGAUCUAUGGUCUGUUGCCGACCGGAUCUGGAAACCUUAUGUGUUUAGGAUUCUAAACGUACGACUACGAUAUUAGAACUAGCAUGUAAACGUUUCGGAGUGAUAAGGACGAUUUAAAACGUCUAUCCUAAAUAAAGAUCUAAAUUCACCUUAUUCGGUGUAUAGAUCAAGAUGGCAAGGACCCGUAGCGGAAACGUGAACGCAAAUGGAGGUAGGAACCAACCCCCAGUGGUUCAGCAAAUACCUGUUGUUGAAGAAGUUGCACCUGAGCCAGUCACCAUGGCUGGAGUUCAAGCCAUGAUUCAGGCUAUGCUAGCUGAACAAAGGGAAGAAAUGAGACGGAUGCUCCACGAAAAUAGGGACGAACCUACCAUACAUGUUGAACCGACGGAGCCAGUUCCCGAGCCAUCUGAGGAAGGGAACUAUAGCCGCCAAGUGAGUCAAGUAGGGACUCAAGGUGAGCAAAAGGAUGGCCCAGAAGGGAGAAACAACAAGGAUGGGCGGAUGUACAAAAAUUUCUUGGGUGCGAAACCACCAAGUCUCUCAGGAAGCCCAAAGCCUGUUGAGAUUAUGGACUGGAUCUCCGAGAUGGAGAUGGUGUUUGAGAGCUGCGACUGCAGCGAGAAGCAGAAGACUGUCUUCGCUGUGAGACAAUUGAAAACUGGAGUCUUGAGCUGGUGGAAGCUAUUGGCAGAUACAAUGCCACGGGGAGAAGCUCUGAAAAUGUCAUGGGAUGAGUUCUUGGAACAACUGAAGGCGCAGUACUGUUCAGAGAUAGACCUGAUUGAUCUGAACAAUGAGUUCCAAAAUUUGAAGAAGGGGAGAAUGAGCAUCGAUGACUAUGCUGCUGCAUUUACGGAAAAGAUGAAGUUGUUUCCAUACCUAGUGCCAACCGAACUUUCCAAAAUUGAGAAAUUCGCAAACGGACUGCCGGCUGACUUUGGCCCAACAGUCAAGAUGGCAACCACUCUGAAAUCAGCUGUUCGAGCAGCUAAGAACGUGGAGACCCAACAAAAGGAAAGAGGUCUGGAGAGGGCUGAGGUUGGUGAGAAACGGAAGUUCAAUGGAUCCUCGAAGUCCAACAAGAAGAGUAGAUUCUCGAAGUCUGGUUCGAGGGGAGGAGGAUCAGAAGCGAAGUGGUGUGACAAGUGCAAGAAGAAGCACUCUGGGAAGUGUGACGGAGGGGUCACUUGUUACAAGUGCGGAAAGCCUGGGCACUACGCCAAUGAAUGCACCCUCAACCAGAAAGCCUGUUAUGGGUGCAAUGAAGAAGGGCACAUUUUGAAGGACUGCCCGAAGAAGAAGGAGACAGGAAGACCCAACAUACCACCGAAGCCGAAGGCGAGAGCCUUCCAGAUGACGCUCGAGGCUGCAAAGGAGGCAGCAGACGUCGCUUCAGGUACCUUUCUUGUAAAUGGUUUGCCUGCAAAUAUACUAUUUGAUUCCGGAGCCAACUACUCCUUUGUGUCGCAUAAAUUUGGUGGGAAAUUAGCAUUGCCUGUAGAAAAACUAGAUAAUGCCCUGAUUGUAGAAGUUGCCAGUGGCAAAUUCGUACCUGUUAGUAAUCGUAUUAGGAACAUCGUCAUUGACCUAAACGGAAACGAAUUCCACGAAGAGCUAUUACCCAUAGAGUUAAACGGUUUCGACAUCGUUUUGGGUAUGGAUUGGCUUAGCGCCAACGAUGCUGAGAUUCAAUGCCGAAAGAAGAUAGUAAAGGUAAACCCACCCGGAAAAGAAUCAUUUAUGGUGUAUGGGGACAAACGCAGAGUGAAUUCUGGAAUCAUCUCCCUGAUGAAAGCCAGGAAAUGUUUGUCCAAAGGAUGUGCAUCAUACUUGGCAUUCGUAAUCGAUGCCAAGAAGGAGAAGAAAGAGGUGCAGAAUAUACCGGUUGUGUGUGAUUAUCCGGAAGUCUUUCCCGAAGAUCUUCCCGGAUUACCACCUGAUAGGCAAGUGGAGUUUCGUAUAGACUUGUUACCAGGAACAACACCGAUAGCAAAGGCACCUUACCGAUUAGCACCGACGGAGAUGAAGGAGCUCAUGACGCAACUUCAGGAGCUGUUGGACAACGGUUUUAUUCGACCUAGUUCAUCACCCUGGGGAGCUCCGGUGUUAUUCGUGAAGAAGAAGGACGGAAGUAUGAGAAUGUGUAUAGACUACCGAGAGCUGAAUAAGGCAACGGUGAAGAACAAGUAUCCAUUGCCGAGGAUUGAUGACCUAUUCGAUCAGCUGCAAGGUUCGAGCUACUUCUCAAAGAUCGAUCUUAGGUCAGGAUAUCAUCAGCUAAAGGUGAGAAAGCAGGAUAUUGAGAAGACUGCAUUCAGAACGAGAUAUGGACACUACGAGUUCUUGGUUAUGUCAUUCGGGCUAACCAAUGCUCCCGCAGCAUUCAUGGAUUUGAUGAAUAGGGUUUGUAAACCAUUCCUCGAUAAAUCCGUGAUAGUGUUCAUCGACGACAUUCUCAUCUACUCGAAAAGCCAAGAGGAGCAUGGCAAGCAUCUACGGGAAGUAUUAGAAGUGUUGAAGAAGGAGAAGCUUUUUGCAAAGUUCUCCAAAUGCGACUUUUGGAUACGGGAAGUCCAAUUCUUGGGUCAUGUUGUUAACCAGGAGGGAAUAAUGGUUGACCCCGCAAAGAUCGAGGCUGUAAUGAAGUGGGAACGUCCAAAGAGUCCCACGGAGAUUCGAAGCUUUCUAGGAUUAGCCGGAUAUUAUCGACGAUUUAUCCAAGGCUUUUCUUCGAUAGCUGCUCCAUUAACAGCUUUGACUCAUAAAGGAGCUACGUAUACGUGGAGUGAGAAACACGAUGAGGCAUUCGAGAAGCUAAAGAAGAAGUUAUGUGAAGCACCGAUACUUUCUCUACCCGAUGGAGUCGAAGAUUUCGCGGUUUAUAGUGACGCUUCUGGAGUCGGGUUGGGUUGUGUUCUGACCCAAAGAGAAAAGGUGAUAGCAUACGCAUCUCGACAAUUGAAAGAGCACGAAAAGAACUACCCCACUCAUGAUCUGGAGUUGGCAGCGGUAGUUUUUGCCUUAAAGAUAUGGAGGCAUUACCUCUACGGCACGAAGUGCAAGCUCUUCACUGAUCAUAAGAGUCUCCAGUAUCUCUUUAAUCAGAAGGAGUUGAACAUGAGGCAACGACGCUGGCUAGAACUUCUCAAGGACUACGACUGUGAGAUACUUUACCACCCAGGUAAAGCAAAUAUUGUUGCUGAUGCUCUCAGUCGGAAAGUCAAUCUGGAAAGGAAAAGGCCAAGAGCGUUAAGAAUUGAAGUCGUCUCGACGAUUGUGGAAAGUAUCAGGAAAGCUCAAGAAGAAGCUUUAGAGAAAAAUGACCGAAAGGAAGAACGUUUGGGAAGAACGUUAGUGUUUGGUACAAACAGUCGAGGACUGAAGGUAUUCCAAGAUCGAAUUUGGGUACCUAAGACGGGAGGAAUAAGAGAUCUUCUGAUGGAAGAAGCACACAAGACCAUGUACUCGAUUCAUCCCGGUAGCACUAAAAUGUAUAGGGACCUAAAACCCUACUACUGGUGGCCGACGAUGAAGCUCGAUGUUGCGAAGUAUGUGGCCGAGUGCGUAACAUGUGCGAGGGUUAAGGCACAACAUCAGAAACCGUAUGGGAGUUUAGAACCUUUACCUGUACCCAUGGGUAAAUGGGAAGACAUCACCAUGGAUUUUGUGACUAAACUGCCCAGGACGAAGAACGGUCACGACAUGAUUUGGGUAGUCGUGGAUCGUUUCACCAAGAGUGCACACUUCAUAGCAGCCAACGAGAAGUGGUCUAUGGAUAAGCUCGCAAAUGCUUACGUGAAGGAAAUUGUAAGACUUCACGGUGUCCCUCUUACGAUUGUAUCAGAUCGUGAUAGUCGUUUCACGUCAAGGUUUUGGAGGAGUCUACAAGAGGAGUUAGGUACAAAGUUGUGUUUGAGUACUGCUUAUCAUCCGCAAACUGAUGGUCAGAGCGAAAGAACGAUUCAGACGCUGGAAGAUAUGCUGAGAGCAUGUACCCUCGAAUUCCAAGGGAAUUGGGACGAGCACUUACCUCUGGUAGAAUUUUCCUACAACAAUAGUUUUCACUCGAGCAUCAAGAUGGCUCCUUAUCAAGCCUUGUAUGGGCAGAAGUGUCGUACGCCGUCUUGUUGGCUUGAAGCCGGAGAGAAGCAGUUUAUGGGCCCCGAGAUAGUCCAUGAGACUGCUGAGAAGUUGAAGGUGAUUAGGGAAAGGAUGUUAGCAGCCCAGGAUCGUCAGAAGAGCUAUGCUGACAAGAAAAGACGACCGAUAACUUUCGAAGUUGGGGAUUCCGUUUUGCUUAAAGUCUCACCGUGGAAGGGACUUAUACGAUUUGGGAAACGAGGAAAGUUGAGUCCAAGGUUUAUUGGACCGUUCAAAGUUCUUCAGAAGAUAGGGAACCAAGCUUACAAGCUGGAAUUGCCCGAAGAACUCAAUGGUAUUCAUAACACCUUCCAUGUGUGUUAUUUGAGGAAAUUCACGGGAGAUGUUCCCGACAUAAUUCCAAUCUCAGAGUUAAGGAUGGAUGAAAAUAAAAGGUUGAUCGAAGAGCCUGAGGCAAUUGUUGACCGUAAGACUAAGAAGUUACGACGCAAGAUGGUCGACUUGGUGCUAGUCCGAUGGAAACAUUCGAAUGGGCCGAAUCUCACUUGGGAAACAGAGGAUGACAUGAUGAGUCGCUAUCCACAUCUGUUUGCUGAUGCAUGAUUCCGGGACGGAAUCAUCCUAAGGGGGAGAGAAUUGUAACGCCCGGGUUUCAGGGCUAAGCAUUUUUGUCAAUGUAAUAGUCUAGGUCAACUCUUGUAACUCUUUUUGAAGUAAUAAAGAUGAAAUAUUUGAGUAUUAUGUGAAUUAUAUGUGUUUAUUAUUUAAUUAUAAAUGUAUAAUUAAUAAAGAAUAAAAAUGAGCGUCAAAAUUAAAGUGUGAGAUAAUCCCGAUAUCUCUACAUAAAGUUGUAGAAUAUGUCUCAAGGUUUCCGUGCAUAUAAGGAACGCCGAAAUCCGAGUUAUAACGAAGAAGUUAUGACCCGUCGAAGUUUCACGACAGAACCGGCACGAUACCGGGAAGCGUGAAUAGUGAAUUUACG
Molecule: long non-coding RNA, 7657 nt
Filed under: Lactuca sativa (garden lettuce)
Lineage: Eukaryota; Viridiplantae; Streptophyta; Magnoliopsida; Asterales; Asteraceae
Description: long non-coding RNA (LSAT_LNC007181)
Source: RNAcentral